Molecule: ribosomal RNA, 115 nt
Organism: Schizosaccharomyces octosporus yFS286
Lineage: Eukaryota; Fungi; Ascomycota; Schizosaccharomycetes; Schizosaccharomycetales; Schizosaccharomycetaceae
Source: RefSeq, a predicted model, not a curated record
ACGGCCACACCUUGGCGAAAACACCAGUUCCCGUCCGAUCACUGCAGUUAAGCGUCUGAGGGUCUCGUUAGUACUAUGGUUGGAGACAACAUGGGAAUCCGGGAUGCUGUAGGCU